GUGUCCGUCAGAACGGAAUAAUAGGGAACCGGGUGGGAAUCCCGGACGAUCCGGUCACUGUGAACAGCGAGGAAGACGCAUGGUAUCCAUUGUGUUUCCGCAUAAAAGGAGACAUGAGAAGGAGUGCGCCGGCCGUCUGAGCUGCUAGUCAGGAAACCUGCUGGAAGUGAUU
This 172-nucleotide non-coding RNA is filed under the name uncultured Eubacterium sp. Lineage: Bacteria; Bacillati; Bacillota; Clostridia; Eubacteriales; Eubacteriaceae. The record is from RNAcentral.